Long non-coding RNA from Choloepus didactylus (southern two-toed sloth), 1124 nucleotides. RefSeq lists it as uncharacterized. The transcript has 4 exons. The record is from RefSeq and is a predicted model, not a curated record. NCBI's taxonomy places the organism in Eukaryota, Metazoa, Chordata, Mammalia, Pilosa, Megalonychidae.
CCUCGGGCCCGGCCUUCCCUGACGCGGGCGGGGAGGCCCCUUGGGGAAGCCCGUGCCCCGUGCCCAGCCCGGCCCUGGGCGCCUCACCUGAGAGCAGGUGACGGCCACCAGCGAGCGCUGGCUCAUCCCCACCAUCUGCCGGCCCCCCACCAACACGAUGACCUCGGCCACACCUGCGGGGACACGGACGGGCGCCGUGGGACCCACCCCUCUCGGGGGCCCCGCAGAGUCGGGCUGACCUCCAGGCGCCUGCGCUCGGGGGCUGGGGGCGCCGUCCCUCUACCUGCCGAGAGGCGGGGCCGGGUCCGGGGCGUCUGCAUCUCCUGGCGCGCGUGGGGCAGCAUGUGGUAGCGCUUGGCCUCGUUGACCAGGUCCCGGCAGGCCUCGGAGGACUUGAUGAGCUCCUCGUUGUCAACCACGUUGAGCAGCUCCUCGGCCUUGGUGUUGAGGCUGUCGUUGGAGACGUAGGCGAUGAAGUCAUCCUUGGAGAUGCUGAGGAUCUCCUCCUGGGCCGCCACCUCGGGGAAGAUCUGCAGCGCGAACGCCUUAGCCAUGUGGUAGAGCUCGCUGCACUGCAUGGCCUCGGCCAUGGCCAGCACCCCCAGGCAGUUGCUGGCCGUCAGCUGCUUCUCUGCGGGGACAGCGCGGUGUCACCCACCAAGAGGCCCUGGGUGGGGGACUAGCACCUCUUCCCCUUGCCUGGCCCCCUUCCUGGGCCCCCGCAGACCCAGCUCUGGGGGUUCUGCCUGGGCCCCCCACCUCCUGUCAGUUCUCACAGCAGGACCAAGACCAGGAGGGCGGGAGUUUGGGGGGGCGGCCUGGAGCCCCUCUCUGGCUCUGCUCUGCAGGGGGCCUGGAGGCCAAAGGUCACAGGGAGGCUCACGGCAUCUUCCGUAAUUGUGCCAGGCCACAGGUUCCCCGUGACUCUGCUCUCUACCCCUUCCUCUCCCUGCUCCUACCAGGCUGGGCAGCGCGGAAUUACAAAGUCAGAGUGACGCUUGCAUUGGGGCCUCCUGGAAGCUCCUGACACUGGCUCCCAUCCUGGACAGCAUGUCUGGGGGUGCGAGGGGCAGUUCAGCUGCUCCUCCCAUCCAUCCAUUGGGGGUGGACCAGAUAUUAAAUAA